UUUUACGGAGAGUUUGAUCCUGGCUCAGGACGAACGCUGGCGGCGUGCUUAACACAUGCAAGUCGAACGAUGAUGCCCAGCUUGCUGGGUGGAUUAGUGGCGAACGGGUGAGUAACACGUGAGUAACCUGCCCCUGACUCUGGGAUAAGCGUUGGAAACGACGUCUAAUACUGGAUAUGAUCACUGGCCGCAUGGUCUGGUGGUGGAAAGAUUUUUUGGUUGGGGAUGGACUCGCGGCCUAUCAGCUUGUUGGUGAGGUAAUGGCUCACCAAGGCGACGACGGGUAGCCGGCCUGAGAGGGUGACCGGCCACACUGGGACUGAGACACGGCCCAGACUCCUACGGGAGGCAGCAGUGGGGAAUAUUGCACAAUGGGCGAAAGCCUGAUGCAGCAACGCCGCGUGAGGGAUGACGGCCUUCGGGUUGUAAACCUCUUUUAGUAGGGAAGAAGCGAAAGUGACGGUACCUGCAGAAAAAGCACCGGCUAACUACGUGCCAGCAGCCGCGGUAAUACGUAGGGUGCAAGCGUUGUCCGGAAUUAUUGGGCGUAAAGAGCUCGUAGGCGGUUUGUCGCGUCUGCUGUGAAAUCCCGAGGCUCAACCUCGGGCUUGCAGUGGGUACGGGCAGACUAGAGUGCGGUAGGGGAGAUUGGAAUUCCUGGUGUAGCGGUGGAAUGCGCAGAUAUCAGGAGGAACACCGAUGGCGAAGGCAGAUCUCUGGGCCGUAACUGACGCUGAGGAGCGAAAGCGUGGGGAGCGAACAGGAUUAGAUACCCUGGUAGUCCACGCCGUAAACGUUGGGCGCUAGAUGUAGGGACCUUUCCACGGUUUCUGUGUCGUAGCUAACGCAUUAAGCGCCCCGCCUGGGGAGUACGGCCGCAAGGCUAAAACUCAAAGGAAUUGACGGGGGCCCGCACAAGCGGCGGAGCAUGCGGAUUAAUUCGAUGCAACGCGAAGAACCUUACCAAGGCUUGACAUACACCGGAAACGGCCAGAGAUGGUCGCCCCCUUGUGGUCGGUGUACAGGUGGUGCAUGGUUGUCGUCAGCUCGUGUCGUGAGAUGUUGGGUUAAGUCCCGCAACGAGCGCAACCCUCGUUCUAUGUUGCCAGCGCGUUAUGGCGGGGACUCAUAGGAGACUGCCGGGGUCAACUCGGAGGAAGGUGGGGAUGACGUCAAAUCAUCAUGCCCCUUAUGUCUUGGGCUUCACGCAUGCUACAAUGGCCGGUACAAAGGGCUGCGAUACCGUAAGGUGGAGCGAAUCCCAAAAAGCCGGUCUCAGUUCGGAUUGAGGUCUGCAACUCGACCUCAUGAAGUCGGAGUCGCUAGUAAUCGCAGAUCAGCAACGCUGCGGUGAAUACGUUCCCGGGCCUUGUACACACCGCCCGUCAAGUCAUGAAAGUCGGUAACACCCGAAGCCGGUGGCCUAACCCUUGUGGAAGGAGCCGUCGAAGGUGGGAUCGGUGAUUAGGACUAAGUCGUAACAAGGUAGCCGUACCGGAAGGUGCGGCUGGAUCACCUCCUUUCUAAGGA
Molecule: ribosomal RNA, 1530 nt
Filed under: Curtobacterium sp. MCBA15_013
Lineage: Bacteria; Bacillati; Actinomycetota; Actinomycetes; Micrococcales; Microbacteriaceae
Also listed under: 1 other name
Description: bacterial SSU rRNA
Rfam family: Bacterial small subunit ribosomal RNA
Source: RNAcentral